Molecule: ribosomal RNA, 246 nt
Filed under: uncultured bacterium
Lineage: Bacteria
Description: partial 16S ribosomal RNA
Rfam family: Bacterial small subunit ribosomal RNA
Source: RNAcentral
GACGAACGCUGGCGGCGUGCUUAACACAUGCAAGUCGUACGACAGCAUUUCCUUUUAGGUUGUGUUUGGAGUGGCGAACGGGUGAGUAACACGUGGGUGACCUGCCCUUCACUUUGGGAUAACGUGCGGAAACGUGCGCUAAUACCAAAUAUUCGCAUUUCUGCUGCAUGGUGGGGUGUGGAAAGGGGCCUUCGGGUUCGUGGUGGGGGAGUGGGCGUCGCGGCCUAUCAGCNGUGUUGGUGGGGU